UAAUACAGAGGGGGCAAGCGUUGUCCGGAUUUACUGGGCGUAAAGGGUACGUAGGCGGUUGCUUAGGUGGGAUGUAACAUCUCCUGGCUUAACUGGGAGCGGCCGUUCCAAACCAGGCAACUCGAGAGGUGCAGAGGUCGGUGGAAUUGCCAGUGUAGCAGUGAAAUGCGUAGAGAUUGGCAGGAACACCAAGGGCGCAGGCAGCCGACUGGGCACAAUCUGACGCUGAGGUACGACAGCGUGGGGAGCGAACCGGAUUAGAUACCCGGGUAGUCCACGCCGUAAACGAUGUAUGCUCGCCCCGUGGCCGGUAUCCAAACGGCUGGGGGGCUCAGUCAACACACAAGCAUACCGCCUGGGAACUACGAGCGCAAGCUUAAAACUCAAAGGAAUUGACGG
RNAcentral lists this ribosomal RNA (399 nucleotides) under uncultured bacterium. RNAcentral describes it as "bacterial SSU rRNA". It matches the Rfam family "Bacterial small subunit ribosomal RNA", at positions 521 to 916 of the family's 1533-position model. The record is from RNAcentral.